UUCCGGUUGAUCCUGCCGGAGGCUACCGCUAUUGGAGUUCGAUUAAGCCAUGCGAGUCGCGAGAAAUUAGAUUCUCGGCGUACCGCUCAGUAACACGUGGGUAACCUGCCCUAUGCUGGAUAAUAACCUCGGGAAACUGAGAAUAAUGAUCCAUAGUUCACUACGCCUGGAACGGUGAGUGGAUGAAAGCCCCGGCGGCAUAGGAUGGGCCUGCGGCGUAUCAGGUUGUAGGGGGUGUAACGUACCCUCUAGCCCUCUACGCGUACGGGUGUUGGGAGACAUAGCCCGGAGAUGGAUUCUGAGACACGAAUCCAGACCCUACGGGGUGCAGCAGGCGCGAAAACUUGGCAAUGCGAGAAAUCGUGACCAGGGAACUCCAGGUGCAUCGGGUAAGACCGGUGCUUUUCUUGACUCUAAAUAGGUCUUGGAAUAAGGGGUGGGUAAGGACGGUGCCAGCCGCCGCGGUAAUACCGGCGCCUCAAGUGGUAGUCGCUUUUAUUGGGCCUAAAACGUCCGUAGCCGGUCUGAUACAUUCGUGGGUAAAUCAACCAGCUCAACUGGUUGAAUUCUGCGAGGACGGUCAGACUUGGGACCGGGAGAGGUGUGGGGUACGCUCAGGGUAGGGGUAAAAUCCUGUCAUCCUGAGCGGACCACCUGUUGCGAAGGCGCCACACUAGAACGGAUCCGACGGUCAGGGACGAAGCCUAGGGGCACGAACCGGAUUAGAUACCCGGGUAGUCCUAGGUGUAAACGCUGUGGACUUGAUGUUGGGGGUGCUCCGAGCACUCUCAGUGUCGAAGCGAAGGUGAUAAGUCCACUGCCUGGGAAGUACGGUCGCAAGGCUGAAACUUAAAGGAAUUGGCGGGGGAGCACCGCAACCUGAGGAUUGUGCGGUUUAAUUGGAUUCAACGCCGGA
Molecule: ribosomal RNA, 916 nt
Filed under: uncultured archaeon
Lineage: Archaea
Description: bacterial SSU rRNA
Rfam family: Archaeal small subunit ribosomal RNA
Source: RNAcentral